UAAUGCCGCUGGACUGCACCACACCUCAAAAGAAGGACACAACUUCAAAAUACCGAGGCACUCAGGACAAAGGCAGCAAAACUCUUGUUGGCGAUCGCGAAGAGAAACUUUUCACGGAGCUUUCAUCAAUGGAAAGACUAGUGCUAAGGUGUCGGUCCUCCAGGCCGGGUCGUACCGGGCCACCCGGAUGGUCUUUGGCCCGCAGCAGCCGCCGAUGCCGACCAGCGUGAUGUCCGGAAUCUGGUGUGGAGCCGUGGUCGUGUAGGUUGGACUGGCACCGUCGUUUUGGUGAAUGGUGAUGUCGCCACUGCUGUAGUGCACGGUGAACGUAAUAAACUCCGAAUCGCUGGUAA
This is a long non-coding RNA of Amphibalanus amphitrite, 353 nucleotides long. RefSeq lists it as uncharacterized. The record is from RefSeq and is a predicted model, not a curated record. NCBI's taxonomy places the organism in Eukaryota, Metazoa, Arthropoda, Thecostraca, Balanomorpha, Balanidae. The transcript is spliced from 2 exons.